AGGUCCCAGUGUCUGAACUAGUUGGAAAGAACAUUCUUCUUUACUUCUCAGCUCAAUGGUGCCCUCCAUGUCGUGCCUUUUUACCCAAGCUAAUUGAAGCAUACCACACAAUUAAAAGAAAAGACAAUGCAUUUGAGGUGAUCUUCAUCUCAAGUGACAGAGAUCAAUCCACCUUUGACGAGUUCUAUUCAGAAAUGCCUUGGUUAGCCCUUCCAUUUGGUGAUGGAAGGAAACAAAUCCUGAGUCGGAAAUUCAAAAUUCAAGGCAUUCCUGCAGCUGUAGCGAUUGGCCCAAGUGGCCGGACCAUUACCAAGGAAGCUCGGAUGCACCUGACAGCUUACGGGGCAGAUGCUUUUCCAUUUACCGAGGAACAUCUAAAGCGAUUGGAGGAGGAGCUUGAGGAAAAGGCAAAGGGGUGGCCAGAGAAAGUGAAACACGAACUUCAUACUGAGCAUGAGCUGAUACGUACUAAACGCAGUGCAUAUGGUUGCGAUGGCUGUGGGGAAACGGGAUAUCGGUGGUCUUUCUAUUGCAAUCAAUGUGACUUUGAUCUUCACCCCAAGUGUGCUCUGAAGGAAGAUGAAGAUGCUGGAACUGAAAAGGGAAAGGAAGGAUGGGUCUGCGAUGGAGAUGUGUGCCGCAGAGCUUAAGCAGGCAAGCGCUGCUUGUGUCUGGUUUUAUGGGCUUUCUGCUGUAUUAAGUAUGCAAUGGAAGAUGUUUGUUGCAUGUGUGUGAAUAUAGUGGGGAUGUCUCUCCUGUUAUCGUUAUGUAUCUAAGAUGUGUGAAGCUGAAGGGUUUUCAUGUCCUGUAUUUGGAUACUAAAAAUAAAUAAACAGCUCUGUGUGUUUAUGCGAAUCCUGUGACCCAUUUGGAACUUGGGAAAAUCCAUGGUUGAUGGUUGUUCUCAAAGCUCAAUCACUUGUUAUGAGGUUUUUGUCAUUCCUAAACGAAAAUGCUGUGCAUGAUGCCAUUGUGCCGCUCUCUUUGUUUCUAUUUGGCUGGGUGAAGAAACAGCCUCACCUCUGGAGCAAAUAUUCCUGUUAUUGUAUUGCUGAUUAAAUACAAAAACUGGGCUGAUUGUGACUUAACCAACAUUAUACAAUGAAACCAUUGUAACUCCACCGUAAAAGAAACAAGAAUUUCCAAUCCAAGCAACUGGAUAGUCAUUUCCCCCCCUCGUUGCCUUCUCACAUUACUUGUUGAGACGGAUUUCAGAAUCAAGAAAGCAGCAUUAAUUCGAACUCAGAACUAAGAAAGACAAAUGAAAUCCCAGCAGGUGGAAACUGGGUUCAUGGCAGUUAUUUGGAGGGUGGACACCUGCGUUUGUUGAUGAACAUGUCUGCAAUCAAUGAAAACCAGAACCACGGGCAGGCUAUUGCCUGUAUCAGUUCAUGGGACGCAAAGGACAGAUAGGAUUAGUGGUGAGCUUGGAGAAGUUAGCAAAGCCAACAACUACACCUCGCAGAACAGGAAAAGAUUUCCGUAAAUUUAAUGCUUUUCUACAAGAAUGUUUGGUUGCCUAUUUUUAAAAAAAAAAAAUUAUAUAAAUAACUUCUGGGUUGGCAUAGACACCUCAGGUUUUGGCACAGCUGCAAAAAACAAGUUGGAACUCUUACAUCCCUAUUGGUAGGUGAUGGAUUAUAAAUAAGGUUUAGUUUUGGUACUUUGACAUCCCUCGUGGACAAAACGAUUCUGAAUGGUUGAUAAUUUGGAAUGAAAGAUUUUCAGUACAAUUAUCAACACUCAACAAACUAGUAAUACCCUAUUAAUUCAUAACUAACUUGGAAAAAAAAAUUAAAUAUAAAAUUAUUGGAUCAAUCUGUAUAUUUUUUAUAUUAAAACAAUAACGUUUUAUUUUAUUUUUAUUUAAUCUUUACAGGAUAAUCACUCAGUUGAUUUAACCAUGUUAUUAAAAGAAUUUAAUUAAUAUAUUAUUUGAUUUAAUUAAAAUCUCAAAAAUUAUUAUACUUGAUAUCUUAAGUUUUUGAGACCAAUGAUUUCUACAUAGUGGUACAAUUAGCAUACUCUGCUCAUUGCAUUACAACAACAUUUUAAAAAUAAAAUGUUAAAAUUAAGAAUAAUUAAUUUUGAAAUUUUAUGUGAACAAUAAUUGUGUGGGGGUGUCAAUAGCAUCAUAUUUGUUUCCUGAAGUAAAUUAUAAUUGAAUCCUCAUAUUUUCCAUAAACCAAUAUGUUAGCCCUUCUGUUUUUUAAAAAACUAAAAGGCUACUCAAUUGAGAAGCUUCGACCGUCAAGCCGUUAUUAGAUAUUCUUUUAUACUAAUACCUAAAGUAACGGUUUAGCACUUUUAUAAUGUAAAACUAAAGGAAGAACUAAGGAGGUAAAAUAUGGCUUCUUUUAAAUAAAGGGAGUGAGCUAUUAAUUUCUUAAAACUAUAGGGACUACGUUAUAAUUUGAUCAAUUUGUUAUGAUGAAUUUAAAGUGCCACACGUGAUUUUUUUUUUUAAUUAAUGUGGGUGUCCGGACCAGCUUGCGCACACCUUAACUAAUCCAACGGGUCCUGAAAUUAACGACCAUGUAAGCCUACAGUUAUCAUCAUAUGAGCAACUACAGGGCUCCUGAGAUCACAAAGGGAAUAAACCUUUUAGUCCCAAGCUCUUAUAACUAGGACACUUUCUAGAUGGUUGUCACACGUUAUUUAAUUCUACAUGGUUUGGUUUUGUGUUUGCCAAUUAAUGAUCAUCAUGUUUCAUGAUGUGACAAAUAGAUUAAAAAUAUGAUGAAUGGAGCCAAACAUUAUUGGUUUUAAAUUUAAAAUUUUUUUAGUGUGUUUGAAUUUUUUUAAUAUAUUAAAUUUAAAAAUAAAUUUUUAAAAAUUAAUAUAUAUAUUUGAGUAAAAAUUAUUUUAAAACUCAACCUCUAUUAUAUUUUUAAACAUACCCUAUCAUUAGUAGUUGAGUCUUACCCUUAAUGUUUUCCAUGGAAUCUAUUAUUAUAGUCUUACAGCGUAUGUGCAAAGAUAAGGAAUAUCAUGAUAGGCAGUAAAAAAAAAAAAAAAAAAACUCUUACUAAUAUUAUAAAAACUAUGUUAUAAUUUUAUCUGAAAAUAAAAUAAAAAUUAAAUGAUAUCUAAUAAAAUAAUAUCUCAUAUAUAUUCUUAAUAACUUAAGUAUCUACUAAAAUAACAGCCUUGAUGUGUUUUUAAAUAAUUAAUUUUAACGAAAUAAAACUAAAACUCAAGGAUAAAAAUUCAAAAAUAAAAAUUCAAAUAAAAUAAAAACAAGCCAUGUUUGUGGGGCCAGGUGACUCCGCAUGCUUAUCCAAAAUGAAAGAGCCAUUUUAUUUUUUCUUUGAUAAAUGACAUAUCAUUUAUCCUUUUGAUUUUUAAAGUAAAACAAAUGACACAUGAUUGGUUACUCAAUUUUUUUUUGUCAUGGAGAAGUGGUUGAAGAAUUGGGUUAGAGUUUUUUUUUUUAUCUAAAAUUAUAUAUUUUUUAAUUUGUUUUUAUCUAUUGUCUCUAAACUAGUCCAUCAUCUAAAAAAAAAACCCUAAAAUAAUUUUAAAAUACAAAGUUUAACCUAAAAGCAAUUCUCUCAACCUCGAUUUAUCUUUUUUUGGCAAUAUAAAGCUAAAAACACAUUAUGGUAGCAUUCUUCUUGUCAAGAAGAAUACAUUGACACACAUUUUAGCUAUUUUUGCAAACAAAACCUUGUCAAUGUAUGUAUUUCUUCUCCUUUGUUAUUUUCAAUGAAUGUUUUUUUUUUUCUAAAACUCAAAACUAAAAUGUGAUUAAAAUAAAGUUUUAGAUCAAAACAUAAAUUUUUAAAGUAAAAUAGCGUGAAAUGAACAUUUCUCAAAUAAAAAAACCAUAAAUUCUUGCUACUUGUUAAUUUUGGCUCCCCAAGUCCUUAAUUUUUAUAUACAAUAAAAUAGGAUUCUAUUUUGUAAAAUCAAACAUAACUCUAAUGUAAAGACAUUUAAUUUUCCAAAAAAAAAAUUAUAGAAAACCAACCAAUAAGUCAAAUCCUCCAUUAAUAAAAUGUCAAAAAUUGAAAAAAUUUAAAAAGUGUUUGGUGACUAUAAUGAAAAAAAUUUCGAAGAAAAAACUAGAACACUAUUUUAAUCUGUGAUGUUUUGAGUUUUUGUCCACAGUGCAACAACACUAAACUAACCACAUCUCUUAGUUUUAUAUUUAAUUUAUUUUUAGAUUUUUAUGAUUCAUAAAUGAGGGAUUAUUUUAUUUUGUUAGCUUAGGUUUUAUUUUUAUAAAAUUAAUUAAAAAAUAGAUUAGGAUAUCUAGUGGAUAACCACAAAUGAAGAAAGUCAUCUACUUAACCGGAUUUAGAGCUCGUUUGUUUCUGAGACAACAUUUACAUUUCUUUUAAACACACUAAUAAUGGUGUUUGAUUACCGAUUGAAAGUAAUACAUAAAUUAUAGACCCCAUCAUUUAUAUGAGGCAGCACCUUAAUUAUAAAAAAUAUUUUUUUUUAUUGAACUUUCUUACAUGAUAGAGUAUUGCAUUUAAAAACUCUUUCUUUCUCCCCUCAAAAUAUAGGGUCUCUUUAUUGAAAUAGAGUCAUGAUGUGGCUCAAAUACACAAUAUAAAUUUAUUUAUAAUUAUUAAAUAUAUGCAAUAUCAUUAUUUUUAAAAUAAAAAAGAAAUCCAGAGUUUUAUUAUUGAAAAACUCCAUUCUUGAAAAUAUAACUAAAAAUUCUAUCAAAGUUUAGAUUUUAACUUGUCUAUUAAAUUGUAUGUAAUUAUUAUCAAGUCAUAUUUUAUAGAAAAUAAACUAGGCUAAAAAUCUAAUCCAAAAUUCUCUCGAUGUCUUUGAGAAUUUAAUUAGCAUAUGAAUUUUAUUGAGGUCUGUGUUAAAUGUUUUUUUUUUUUUCUGAGACUUAAGGAGCUUUGGAUGACUGGAGCUGGAGGUACAUUUUCAUGAUUUAUUUUUCUCAAUAAUUUUUUUUUACAGUCUUGGCCUUCAUCCUUUCCUAAGCUUCCUAUGUAAGAUGCCACGUAUAUAGUUUCUUUGCUCGUUCAUUUCAACUAUGCUUUACAUAUGAUGAUUGAUUUAUAUUAGAAAAAAAAAAUGAUAGAAAAAUUCAUUUCCAAAUGCAGCAAAACCAAAAGAGAAUAAUUUUCUAAUUAAAAAAACUAAUUAAGGAUUUUUUGUAUCAAGAAAUAUAAAGAUUUUAUUAAAGAGAUAAAAAUAAAAAAUAUAUUUAAUAACAAACUCACAAAAAAAUUAUCAAACCAUGGAUAAAACUAAAAAAAAAGGAGAUUAAUAAAAAAAACAUGUUUAAAAAAGAAGAAGCAAGAGGAGAUUUAUAGAAGCAGGUGAUCAUGCGAAUGCCACUUCAUCGGGCCUACGUCAUAAUGUCUUCGUCAUCACCCGUCACCAGCCACGCCUUGAAGCGUCGUUGUCUGAUUAGAAUAAUAAUUUCCUAGGUCGGUCGUGCAGGUAAUUUAAAGGAGCCUUAGCCUGGAAGUUCUAUCACAUAGCAACUGGGAUUGGCAAUUGUUCUAGCCUUUUGAGUAGUUCAUCACAUAGCUAGCUAUGGCCACCGAAGACGUUUCUCUCGACCUUUCAACGCUUCUUUCUUCAGCAGAGAGGGACUUUCUCAUCCGCAACAAUGGUGAUCAGGUACUGCUUCUCUGAUCUUAUUCAAGUCUUCUUCCUGUCUUAUUAUAAGUUGACGUCUUUUAAUUUUUAUAUGAACUUGUAGGUUUUUCUCGUAAUUAAGAUGAAUAUCAUGUUUAAAUUAGACUGGUAGCCUUGCUUAAGAACAAAUUUAUGACCAAUUUCUGAAGCUUUUUAUGAUUAAGAAAAAGCUCCCUUUUUUUUGUUGCUUCUCUCACUGGCAAGAGAAAGAAACCAUGAAUAAAAUUUUGAUUCGUUAAGGGCAGAUGUUUUUUUCUGAUAAUGUUCGAGAUUAAUUUUUAGGUUAAGGUCAGCAAUUUGGUUGGGAAGAUUGUGGGGUUCUACUUCUCUGGUUCGUGGUGCGGCCCAUGCCGUAAUUUCACUCCUUUGUUGGUAGAAGUCUAUGAACAGCUAUCAUCCAAAGGGGACUUUGAGGUGGUCUUCAUUUCUUCUGACAGAGAUGAUGAAUCCUUCAACACAUAUUUCUCCGAAAUGCCAUGGCUUGCUAUUCCCUUCUCUGAUACGGAGACCCGCAAACGUCUUAAGGAAGUGUUCAAAGUAAGAGGGAUCCCUAAUCUUGUCAUAAUUGGCCAAGAUGGGAAGACUUUGAACCCAGAUGUAGUUGAACUCAUCGAAGACCAUGGAAUUGAAGCCUACCAUUUACACCGGAAAAGCUUGAUGAGCUAGCUGCAAUUGAAAAGGCAAAACUGGAAUCGCAGACGCUUGAGUCAGUUUUGGUUAAUGGGGAAAAUGAUUUGUGAUUGACAAAAGUGGAUCCAAGGUAAUUUUUUUUCUGCUAACAUCGCAUGUUGUUAUUGCAUUACUUUCAAUAACUUGCUUAUUAUCUCGAAUUGAAUUCAUUAGCAAAGGAUUUUUAUCAUUCAAAUGGUUUACUCUUGAUUAGGUCCAGUGUCUGAUCUAGUUGGAAAGAACAUUCUUCUUUACUUCAGCUCAAUGGUGCCCUCCAUGUCGUGCCUUUUUACCCAAGCUAAUUGAAGCAUACCACACAAUUAAAAGAAAAGACAAUGCAUUUGAGGUGAUCUUCAUCUCAAGUGACAGAGAUCAAUCCACCUUUGACGAGUUCUAUUCAGAAAUGCCUUGGUUAGCCCUUCCAUUUGGUGAUGGAAGGAAACAAAUCCUGAGUCGGAAAUUCAAAAUUCAAGGCAUUCCUGCAGCUGUAGCGAUUGGCCCAAGUGCCGGACCAUUACCAAGGAAGCUCGGAUGCACCUGACAGCUUACGGGGCAGAUGCUUUUCCAUUUACCGAGGAACAUCUAAAGCAAUUGGAGGAGGAGCUUGAGGAAAAGGCAAAGGGGUGGCCAGAGAAAGUGAAACACGAACUUCAUUCUGAGCAUGAGCUGUUACGUACUAAACGCAAAACAUAUAUUUGCGAUGGCUGUGGGGAAACAGGAAAUAGUUGGUCUUUCCAUUGCAAAGAAUGUGACUUUGAUUUCACCCCAAGUGUGCUUUGAAGGAAGAUGAAGAUACUGGAAGUGAAAAGGGAAAUGAAGGAUGGAACUGCGAUGGAGAUGUGUGCCGCCGAGCCUAAGCAGGCAAGCGCUCCUUGUAUCUGGUUUUAUGGGCUUUCUGCUGUAAUAAGCGUGCGAUGUAAGGUGUUUGUUGCAUGUGUGUGAAGAUGUGGAUGUCUUUCCUGUUAUUGAUAUGUAAUUAAGAGGUGUGUUGCUUAAGGAUUUUCAUGUCCUGUAUCUCGAUACGAAGAAUAAAUAACCUGAUUGGCUAAGUUUAUGUGAAUCCUGUGACCCUUUUGAAACUUGGGAAUCCAUGGUUGCUGGUUGUUCUCAAAUCUCCAUCACUAGUUAUGAGGUUUCGUCAUUCCUAAAUGAAAAUGUUAUGCAUGAUGCCAUUGUGCCGCUCUCUGUGUUUCUAUUUGGCUGAUGAAGAAACAACUUUACCUCUGGAGCAAAUAUUUCGAUACCAAACUGGUUUUGUUUAAACUCUCAACCCAAUUCAAUUAUGAAAGGUUUUUUUUUUUUUGUCUGAGAAUCCCUAAUUUGCUUCCUCUCUCCUGUAGCCACAACCACCCUCUCUUUUCUCUGAAAGAUAUCGAAACUUAGCGGUGAUCUCUUCGCUCUCAAAAUUUCUCGCAACUUUCUCACCUCCCUCUUUGUUGUUGGUCUCUUUUUUAUUUUUGUCUCCUCUCCAUCUCUAGUGUAAUGUAGCCUCUCUUCUCUCUAUUUCUUUCUAUUUUUCUUAGCUUUAUUUAUUGUUAUAGAAUAAUAAAUUAUAACAUGUUUAUUUGUUAUUUGGCAAGGAUUCAAUGUUCACAAUAACUCAGAUGUUUGACAAAGCCGAUUUAUAUUAUUUAGCAGAUUUGAUAAGAUUUAUUGUCUCCUAUAUGUAUUAUUAACUGUGACCUAAUAAUUUACAUGUUAUGUUUCAAAGACACAGAAGUUUGAGGUGUUGGUUCUUAUUUCGUUGCAUGUCAAGCUCAAUAUAUUUCUCCUAACAUGUUUAUUUGUUACUUGGCAUGGAUCAUUUUUUAUGGCUUAUAUUGUCUUUUUUAUGUAGAUGUGAACAAGUUAUUUCAAAGGAAAAAACUAUAUUGACUCCUUAAUUGUGAAAUUGGAAAUUAGGGAGAUAAUUGUUGUGAUAAUUCAUGGGCGAUCAUGUAAGCAAAUGUUAUAGGAAGCUUGCUGAUUUGGAUUUGUAAUAAUACAUGCAUCGAAGUGCUAGAAAGGCCACAUAAUCUUUGCCCUUUCCUAGGCUUCAUGUGCAAGAUCCCGUGUAUAUAAGUUAAUUGUAAGUUCAUUUAAACUAGGCUUUACAAAUGGUGAUUCAUUUGUAUUAAGAAAAAAUGAAAUAAAAAUUCAAUUUCAUAUAUAAUCCAUCACCUAUUUAAUAGUGUGAUGUAAGAGUAAGAGUUCAUCUUGUUUAUGAUCCAUCACCUAUCAAUAGUGAUGUAAGAGUUCCAACUUGUUUUCUACAGCUGUGCCAAAACCUAGGGGGGUCUACGCCAGCCCAGCAGAGUCCUUCCCCCGUCGUAGGUGGUCCAUACGACCAGAGAUAGUAAGUGAUUUCAGAACAUGCCUUUUCGAAAUGUGAUCAAAAUAAAAUUUUGGAUUAAAAUAUAAAAUUUUCAAAGUAAAAUGGUGUGAAAUCAACAUUUCUCAAAUAAAAAAAAACCUUAAAUUAUUGCUAACAAUCAAUUUUGCCCCCUAAAUCUUAAAUUUUUUGUACGCAAUAAAAUACGAUUUAUUUUGUAAAAUCCAAAUAUCACCCUAAUGUAAAAACAUUUAAUUUUUCCCUCACAUAGAAGAUUAUAAAAAAACCAACCAAUAAGUCCAAAUUCUUGAUUAAUAAAAAUGUCAAAAGAUGAAUUUAAAAAAAUUAAUUAUAUUAUAAUGAAAAACAUUCAAAGAAUAGGACUAGAACAUUGUUCCAAUCCAUGAUAUUUUGAAUUUUUUGUCCAUGGUGCAACAAAACUAAACUAACCACAUCUUUUAGUUUUUUAUUUAAUUUAAUUUUAUAGUUUUAUGAUUCAUGAAGGAGGAAUUAAUUUAUUUUUUAGAUUAGGUUUUAUUUUUAUAAAAUUAAUUAAAAAAUAAAUUAGAUAGGAUAUCUAGUUGAUACCCACGAAUAAAGAAAGUCAUAUACUUAACCUGACUUGAUUAAAAAAAUUAACGAAUUUGAACAUUCGAGAGUGGAAAUUCAUUAUCUUCCUUUACUUACAAUUAUGACAAAUUGAAAUACGUCUAGAGUGUUUGAUAAAGGAUGAUGACAUAUAUGUAUAGUGCACUUUUGAGUGUGGGAAAGUCCCGUCUCAUGACAGAGUAUUGCAUUUAAAAUCUCUUUCUUUCUUCCUUGGAAAUAUAGCAGGGGUGAUUAAAAAAAAAUUGAAAAACUAAUUAAAUUAAAAAAAUAAUUUUUUUUGAAAAAACUGAACCGAGAAAAAAUAAAUUAAUUAAUUAAAAUAUUUUUAAAAAUAUCUGGUUUGAUUUUGAUUUUUUAAGUCUAAAACCGAAAAAAUAAACUGAAAUUAAUAAAAAAACCAAACUGAAAAAACUUAAACCAAACCUAUUAAAAAUUACAAAAAAAAACCCCUAAAAAUAAUAUAGUUUUUGGUUUUUAAUAUAGAUGUUUUGAUUUUACCAAAACCAAAACCGAACGAACCAAAUCCGAUCGGAUGGGUUUUGAUUUUUAAAAAAAAAAAAAUACAGUUUGGUUAUUUUUAUAGGUAAAAACCUAACCGAACUAAAAAUAAUCACCCUUGAAAUAUACAAAAAAACAUUUUAUUGAAAUAAAGUGGCUAAAAUACACUAUAUAAUUUUAUUUAUAAUUAUUAAAUAUAUGUAACAUCAUUAUUUUUAAAAUUAAAAGGAGUUGAGAGUUUUACUAUUAAAAAACUUUAUCUUGAUAGAAGGAUAAUAAGGUCUUUAGAAAGUUUGUAUCGUAGCAUACUUAUUAAAUUAUAUGUGAUUACCAUCAUGUCAAAGUAACAUAAAGAUUUUAUUAAAGAGAUAAAAAUACAAAAUAUAUUUAAUAACAAACUCACAAAAACAAAAUAUCAAACCAUGGAUAAAACUAGAAUAAAAACAUAAAAAAAGGAGAUUAAAAAAACAUUAGAAUAUUUUAAACUGAUUAGAAUAUUUUAAAAAAUAUCCAGUUUGAUUUUGAUUUUUUAAGCUUGAAACUAAAAAAUCAAACCCAAAUUAAUAAAAAAAAUAAACCAAAAAAACCGAAACAAAACUCAUUAAAAAUUACAAAAAAAACCCUAAAAACAAUAUAGUUUUUUGUUUUUAAUAUAAAAUAAUCAAACCAAAACCGAAUCAAAUCAAACCCGAAUGGUUGGAUUUUGGUUUUUUUUUUUUGUAUUUUUCAAAAUUUCAAUUUGGUUAUUUUUAUAGGUAAAAACCAAACCAAACUAAAAAUGAUUACUCUAGAAUAUAAAUUUUUUUUUGUAUUGAAAUAGAGUGGCUAAAAUACACUAUAUAAUUUUAUUUUUAAAUAUUAAAUAUAUGUAACAUCAUUAUUUUUAAAAUUAAAAGGAGUUGAGAGUUUUACUAUUAAAAAACUUUAUCUUGAUAGAAGGAUAAUUAAUAAGGUCUCUAAUAAGUUUGGAUCUUAGCCUACUUAUUAAAUUACAUGUGAUUACCAUCGUGUCAAAGUGAAAUAAAGAUUUUAUUAAAGAGAUAAAAAUACAAAAUAUAUUUAAUAACAAAAUCACAAAAAAAUUAUCAAACCAUGGAUAAAACUAGAAUAAAAAUAAAAAUAAAAAGAGAUUAAAAUAAACACCUCUCUGCGCAAGAAAUGAUAUAUUCUGUUAAAGACAAUCCUUCCCGUAGAUUGCUUUGAAUGGGUAAAUCAAUCAUUUGUCUUUGUGGAUCCGACAUUAAUCCUCUUAUACCUACUAAUUGGUGUACUUGAGAUGUAUUUCCCUAGCUCCCGAAAAGGACAUUAUAUGGACUUGAUUAUAGGGUUUUGUCAUUCUAAAAUUCAGAUUCAUUUCUUGUCGCAAAUAUUCACUUGUAGCAUACUAUAUCUUAAUAAAUUGACGUAAUUUUUCUAUCGCGUAUACAUUUUUAUAAUGAUGGUGUUUUUUCAAAAUCAAACUUUGUUGUUCAGCAUCUUGGACUAGCCAUCCUUUUGAAGAUAUUGUUAAAAGAUCAUCAAUUCCUAAUGAAAUAGAUGUAGCAGUGGUAUGUGAAUCCUGUGACCCAUUUGAAACUUGGGAAUCCAUGGUUGAUGGUUGUUAUGAGGUUUUUGUCAUUCCUAAACGAAAACGCUAUGCAUGAUUGCAUUGUGCCGCUCUCUUUGUUUCUAUUUGGCUGGAUGAAGAAACAGCUUCACCUCUGGAACAAAUAUUCCUGUAAUUGUAAUGCUGAUUAAAUACAAAAACUGGGCUGAUUGUGACUUAACCAACAUUAUACAAUGAAACCAUUGUAACUCCACCGUUAAAGAAACAAGAAUUUCCAGUCCAAGCAACUGGAUAGUCAUUUUUACCCCUCUCUGCCUUCUCACAUUACUUGUUGAGACGGAUUUCAGAAUCAAGAAAGCAGCAUUAAUUCGAACUCAGAAGUAAGAAAGACAAAUGAAAUCCCAGCAGGUGGAAACCUGCGUUUGUUGAUGAACAUGUCUGCAAUCAAUUAAACCAGAAACACGAGCAGGCUAUUGCUUGUAUCAGUUCAUGGGACGCAAAGGACGGAUAGGAUUAGUGGUGAGCUUGGAGAAGUUAGCAAAGCCAACAACUACACCUCGCAGAACAGGAAAAGAUUUCCGUAAAUUUAAUGCUUUUCUAUUUGCUUAAUUCUCGUGACACCAUAUUAUUUGAUGCCUCAAAAGAACGAAAAUAUCAUCCGUGUGAUACAUCCAAAAUUCAAGCAAGCACACUGCCAAGAAAUUCAAUUCGGCGACGUUUCAAUCAAGCACGCUGCCAUAAAGUUUGAAGCCAUUGAAAAAACCUUUGGUUCUAUGGUCCAUUAAUUAUGUUCAGCUUAUUUACUCUUUCAUGUUCUCGCAGUUUCUUCUUUUUGCCACGUUCCAUGGCUUCCCACCACUGAAUCUCAUGUGCUUUAAAUUUGCCUUCGCCAUGACAGCCACAAAACCUUAUCGAUUGUUGCAGUCUGAAAACUGUUUGUUAUUGUGGUUACUGUUGUGGUUUUAAGAAAAUUAUUUUGUAAAAAUAUUUUUAGUUGAGGUUGGUUUAGAAAAAUAUAUAUUUGAUUAAAAAUAUGGUUAAAAUUGAGGUUGAACAAAAAGUAGUUUAAUGUGUUUGGUUAAAAAAAUGUUUUUCAAAUUGAGGUUAUAAAAUAAUUAAAAAAUAUUUUUAAUUUAAAUAUUGUAGAUUUAACUACUAUUACUACAUCAUGAAAUAAAUAAUAUUUAUAUCAAAUAUUUUUUAUUAUUCCAUUAAACUAUAUGCAAUGUCAUCACAUACAAAUCUAUCCAACAAUGACUAUAUUUUUCAUGGUUUCUUAAGCACGCAACAACAAAAAUUGGAUUUUUUGUAAUGUCAUCAAGCGAUAUCCUUCUAAUUUUUUCAAUAAAACACAAUUAAAAUAAAAAUAAAAACUGAAUUUUUUUAACUGGGUCAGACCCGGCAGGAACAUAAUUGGAAUUGCGAUUAAAUUUCACAAAUGUUAUGUCAUCAUGCGAUAUUCUUCUAAUUUAUAUAGUGUUAUUAAAUAAUAUUAAAUACUAGUUUUUCGAGUAAAACUAAAUUUUUUAAAAAAAAAAAUUACAAUUUCAUUACGUACAAAAUUCAUUCGACAAGAACUACAGUUUAAUGAUUUUGUGAGCGUGCAAUAAAAUUAGAUAAAAUAUUAUCGGGAAUAAAAUUAAGAUUACAGUAUGAGUAAAUUUAAUUCACCUUUAACUAUUUUUUUAACAAAAAAAAAUAUAUUGUUCAUCUGAAUAGUGCGAGUGAAAUUAAUUAAUUGCACUGGUUUUUCAGGGAAAAAAAAACCCAAACAUUGCAUGUGAACAGUGCAAGUGAAUUAAUUCACUCACACUGGUUUUUUGAAAUUAAAAAAAAAAUUGUUCAUUUUAGUGAACAGUGGAGCCAUGCUCCAUUGUUGAUGUUAAUUUUCAGACGAGCAGCAGCUUCUCAGAAACCUAUUCAGAUGAACAAUAUAUUUUAAAAAAAAUGGAGCAGGUGAAUUAUUUUAAUCUGCUUUUUAAUCUGCUACAGUGCAUGCAAAGCAGGUUUUCAUAGCUUUUCCUUUCCAGUGUUUUAAACGCAAAAAACACGUGGGUCCCAUGCACAGUAAAAUAAUUUUUGUUAUUACCAAACGGCUGCGGACUGCGUUUUAAAUAAAACGCAUCCGCAGCCUCUUAGACAAACACCCUUUAAGUGGGUCCUACAAAAAAAACUAUUUUUUCUUACCUUACCAAACAUUAAUAGUUGUGGUUGCGGGUGAACCUCACCCGUGGCCACAAUACCAAACAUCCACUUACUAUCUCUGGCCAUCUCGUGUAUGGACCCCUCUACGAUGAAGGAAGGGCACUGUUGGGCUCUUCCCUUACAACGGGGGAAGUCGGAAGGACACUGUUGGGCUAGUAUAAACCCUCCAGGUUUUGGCAUAGCUGCAGAAAAAAAUAAUUUAAAAAAAAUAAAAAAAAAAUAUAUUAUUUUAAUAUAUUUUAGUAUGAAAAGCAUUUUGAAAAAUAAUUGUAAUCAUAUUCCCAAACAAAUAUAAAAUUAAAGGAAAAACAAAUAUAAAACUAAAAGAAGAACUAAGUUAUAGUAAAUGGAAAUGAUGACAUGGAGGUAAAAUAUGGCUUCUUUUAAAUAAAGGGAGUGAGCUAUUGAUUUCUUAAAAAUAUAGGGACUACGUUAUAAUUUGAUCAAUUUGUUAUGAUGAAUUUAAAGUGUAACACGUGAUUUCUUUUUUUUUUUUUUUUUUUAUAACUCGAGAUGUCUGGGCUAGUUUAUGCGCAUCACGACUAAUCCCCGGACUCACCGAACAUCCUGCAAGCCCUGUAAGUAGGUAAGGUACCGCGGGGUGACAAGCGUGCACAAGCAAGACUUGAACCCUGGUAUAAAGGAAGAACACAAGGCCCUUCCACUGCUGGGCUACAAGCUCAAGCGUGUAACACAUGAUUUCUAAAUGGUGGUGUUGGUGUUGUGUUUGCCUAUUAAUGAUCAUGAUCAUGAUGUUUCAUGAUGUGACAAAUAUAUUAAAAAUAUGAUGAUUUUGUUUAUAGUUAAAGCCGUGAAAUAUUAUUUGUUUAAAAUUUAUUUUUUUUUAAUGUUUUUAAUUUUUAUUUAAUGUAUUGAUGUUAAAAAUAUUUUUUUAAAAAUUAAUAUAUAUAUAUAUAUAUUAAUAUAUUUUUAUAUAAAACAUAUUUUAAAACUUAACCUCUUUUAUAUUUUUAAACAUACCCUUAGUCAAUUGUCAUUUAGUAGUUGAAUCUUACCCUUAAUGUUUUCCAUGGAAUCUAUUAUUAUUGUCUUUGACAGCGUAUGUGCAAUGAUAAGGAAUAUCACGAUAGGUUGUCAAAAAAACUCUUACUAAUAUUAUGUUAUGUGUAAUUUUAUCUGAAAAUAAAAUAAAAAUUGAAUGAUGCCUAAUAAAAUAAUAUUAUAUAUAUAUAUAUAUAUUCUUAAUAAUUUAAUUAUCUACUAAAAUAACAUCCUUAUGUGUUUUUAAAUAAUUAAUUUUAAUGAAAUAAAAUUAAAACUUGAGGAUAAAAAUUCAAAAAAUAAAUAAAAUAAAAGCUAAACAUAAGCCAUGUUUGUGGGGUCAAGUGACUCAGCAUACUUAUCCAAAACAUGAAAGAGCCAUUUCAUUUUUUCUUUGAUGAAUGACACAUUGGACUUUUAUUAUUUUAUUUUUAAAAUAAAACAGAUUUGCUUACUCAAUUAUUUUUUGUUAUGGAGAAGUGGAAGAGUUAGGUUAGUGUUUUUUUUUUUUUAUCUAAAAUUCUAUUUUUUUAAUAUAUUUUUAUCUAAAAACACCUCAUAAAUACUUUUAAAUUAUCUCUAAACUAAUCCAUCAACUAAAAAGAAACUCUAAAAUAAUUUUAAAAUAUAAAGUUUAACUUAAAAGCAAUUCUCUCAACCUCUAUUUAUCUUUUUUUGGCAAUAUAAAGCUCAAAAACAUUAUGGUAACACUCUUUUUGUAAAGAAAAAUAUAUUGACACACAUAUGAGCUAUUUUCAUAAACAAAAACUUAUUAAUGUAUGUAUUUCUCUCUCCUUUACUAUUUUCAAUGAAUUUUUAUUAUUAUUUUAAAAAUUUCCAGAUUGAAAUGUUAUUAAAAUAGAGUUUUGGAUCAAAACAUAAAUAUUUUGAAAUAAAAUGGUGUGAAAUGAACAUUUCUCAAAUAAAAAAACUUUAAAUUCUUGCUAUAUGUCAAUUUUGACUCUCCAAGUCCUAAAUUUUUAUAUGCAAUAAAAUAGGAUUCUAUUUUGUAAAAUCAAACAUAAGUAUAAUGUAGAGACAUUUAAUUUUCCAAAAAAAAUAAAAAUAAGGAGCCUUAGCCUCGAAGUUCAUCGGACCUACGUCAUAAUGUCUUCGUCAUUACCCGACACCAGCCACGCCUUCAAGUCGUCGUUGACUGAUCAGAAUAAUAAUUUCCUAGGUCGGUCGUGCAGGUAAUUUAAAGGAGCCUUAGCCUGGAAGUUCCAUCACAUAGCAACUGGGAUUGGCAAUUGUUCUAGCCUUUUGAGUAGUUCAUCACAUAGCUAGCUAUGGCCACCGAAGACGUUUCUCUCGACCUUUCAACGCUUCUUUCUUCAGAAGAGAGGGACUUUCUCAUCCGCAACAAUGGUGAUCAGGUACUGCUUCUCUGAUCUUAUUCAAGUCUUCUUCUUGUCUUAUUAUAAGUUGAUGCCUUUUAAUUUUUAUAUGAACUUGUAGGUUUUUCUCGUAAUUAAGACGAAUAUCAUGUUUAAAUUAGACUGCAAGCCUUGCUGAAGAACAAAUUUAUGACCAAUUUCUGAAGCUUUUUAAUGAUUAAGAAAAAGCUCCUUUUUUUGUGUUGCUUUUCUCACUGGCAAGAGAAAGAAACCAUGAAUAAAAUUGUGAUUCGUUAAGGGCUGAUUUUUUUCUGAUAAUGUUCGACAUUAAUUUUUAGGUUAAGGUCACAAUUUGGUUGGGAAGAUUGUGGGUUCUACUUCUCUGGUUCGUGGGCGCCCAUGCCGUAAUUUCACUCCUUUGUUGGUAGAAGUCUAUGAACAGCUAUAUCCAAAGGGACUUUGAGGUCUUCAUUUCUUCUGACAGAGAUGAUGAAUCCUUCAACACAUAUUUCUCCGAAAUGCCUGGCUUGCUAUUCCCUUCUCUGAUACGGAGGCCCGCAAACGUCUUAAGGAAGUGUUCAAAGUAGAGGGAUCCCUAUCUUGUCAUUUUUGAUUGCGAAUGGCAAGGUUCCUGCGAUGAUGGAUCAGCACUGUCAAGGAACAUGGCGUGGAUGGGUAUCCGUUCAACCUUGAUAGACUGAAUUUCCUGAAAGAGCAAGAAGAGAACGCUAAGAAGAAUCAAACAUAAGCUCUAUCUUGGUUUCAAGCUCACGUGAUUAUGUGAUUUCAAAUGAUGGAAAAAAGGUUAGAUGGUUCAUUCAAUUAGCUAGUUUUGAAAUUGAAUUGAUGAUGCCAUCAUUCACUUUUUGCCUUUUUGGCUAUCUGUAAUGGCAGAUCCCUGUGUUGGACCUUGAAGGAAAAUUGGUUGGCUUGUAUUUCUCAAUCCAUGCUCAUAGGAUGUGCCGUGAAUUCACUCCUAAACUAGUGAAUUACAAGCGCUCAAGGAAAAAGAGAGAACUUUGAAGUAGUCCUAAUAUCUCUAGACGAGGAAAAACACUUCAAAGAGAGUUUUGAGACAAUGCCUUGGUUGGCAUUGCCGUUUAAGGACAAGAGCUGCGAGAAGCUAGCGCGGUAUUUUGAACUUAGAACCAUUCCUAAUCUUGUCAUAAUUGGCCAAGAUGGGAAGACUUUGAACCCAAAUGUAGUUGAACUCAUCGAAGACCAUGGAAUUGAAGCCUACCCAUUUACACCGGAAAAGCUUGAGAGCUAGCUGCAAUUGAAAAGGCAAAACUGGAAUCGCAGACGCUUGAGUCAGUUUUGGUUAAUGGGGAAAAUGAUUUUGUGAUUGACAAAAGUGGAUCCAAGGUAAUUUUUUUGUUCUUGCUAACUCGCAUGUUGUUAUUCAUUACUUUCAAUAACUUGCUUAUUAUCUCGAAUUGAAUUCAUUAGCAAAGGUAUUUUUAUCAUUCAAAUGGUUUGCUCUUGAUUAGGUCCCAGUGUCUGAUCUAGUUGGAAAGAACAUUCUUCUUUACUUCUCAGCUCAAUGGUGCCCUCCAUGUCGUGCCUUUUUACCCAAGCUAAUUGAAGCAUACCACACAAUUAAAGAAAAGCAAUGCAUUUGAGGUGAUCUUCAUCUCAAGUGACAGCGAUCAAUCCACCUUUGACGAGUUCUAUUCAGAAAUGCCUUGGUUAGCCCUUCCAUUUGGUGAUGAAGGAAACAAAUCCUGAGUCGGAAAUUCAAAAUUCAAGGCAUUCCUGCAGCUGUAGCGAUUGGCCAAGUGGCCGGACCAUUACCAAGGAAGCUCGGAUGCACCUGACAGCUUACGGGGCAGAUGCUUUUCCAUUUACCGAGGAACAUCUAAAGCAAUUGGAGGAGGAGAUUGAGGAAAAGGCAAAGGGGUGGCCAGAGAAAGUGAAACACGAACUUCAUACUGAGCAUGAGCUGAUACGUACUAAACGCA
Molecule: long non-coding RNA, 17760 nt
Filed under: Populus tremula
Lineage: Eukaryota; Viridiplantae; Streptophyta; Magnoliopsida; Malpighiales; Salicaceae
Description: long non-coding RNA (PTRE_LNC000503)
Source: RNAcentral